Molecule: ribosomal RNA, 253 nt
Filed under: uncultured bacterium
Lineage: Bacteria
Description: partial 16S ribosomal RNA
Rfam family: Bacterial small subunit ribosomal RNA
Source: RNAcentral
UACGGGGGGGGCAAGCGUUGUUCGGAAUUACUGGGCGUAAAGGGCUCGUAGGUGGCCAACUAAGUCAGACGUGAAAUCCCUCAGCUUAACUGGGGAACUGCGUCUGAUACUGGAUGGCUUGAGUUUGGGAGAGGGAUGCGGAAUUCCAGGUGUAGCGGUGAAAUGCGUUGAUAUCGGAAGGAACGCCGGUGGCGAAAGCGGCGUACUGGAUCUCUUCUGACGCUGAGGCGCGAAAGCUAGGGGAGCAAACGGG